GCCCGGGUGGCGGAAUCGGCAGACGCAGGGGGCUUAAACCCCCCGGCUCCCCAGGGAGCGUGUGAGUUCAAAUCUCACCCCGGGCACC
This 88-nucleotide transfer RNA is filed under the name Acidimicrobiales bacterium. RNAcentral's name for it is "tRNA-Leu". It matches the Rfam family "tRNA". From Rfam's summary of the family: Transfer RNA (tRNA) molecules are approximately 80 nucleotides in length. The record is from RNAcentral. Lineage: Bacteria; Bacillati; Actinomycetota; Acidimicrobiia; Acidimicrobiales.